AGUCAACAUACAUGUGCUAACUGGCCCUCCAUUCAUUACAUCCACAACGUAUUUGUUACAUUUUUUUUUUACUCCUUUCUUCUUUCUCUCAUCUCUACUUUCCUUUUUCAACUCUCCAUUGAAGAAAUUUCCACAAAAAAAAAUGGAGCUUCCCUUUGGGAAAUACUCCACUUCAACCCAAAGAACCCCAAGAAUAUUCUUACUUUUAGUUUUAGCAGUUGUCGUUUUGGGUAUUAUCCCUCUUUAUCACCCAUUUAAUUGGUACCCAGCAGAUUUAGCAACCCAACAUCCCUCUGAAAUUUCACCCAAUUACCAUGCUGCUGAGGAGCAAAAGAUAAAGAUUAAAGAGCCGGAGACAUGCGAUAUCUUCACCGGCGAAUGGGUCUGGAAUCCGGAUGCUCCAUAUUACACGAAUAUGACCUGUUAUGCGAUCCAUGAACACCAAAAUUGUAUCAAGUAUGGGAGACCCGAUACGGAUUAUUUGAAGUGGAGAUGGAAGCCUAAUGGGUGUGAGCUACCUAUUUUCGACCCGUUUCUGUUUUUAGAUUUGGUUAGGAACAAAUCGUUGGCACUCGUCGGUGAUUCAGUUGGAAGAAAUCAAAUGCAGUCGUUGAUAUGCCUAUUGGCUCGGGUGGAAUAUCCUGUCGAUAUAUCUGAUAAUCCAGAUGAAGCUUUCAAAAAAUACAAAUACACAACUUACAACUUUACAUUAGCAACAUAUUGGUCACCAUUUUUGGUGUCAACAAAAGAAGCUGAUGCAGAUGGUCCAAGCCAUACUGGAGUUUACAAUCUUCACCUUGACAAAGCAGAUGAGAAAUGGACCACUGAAAUUGAAAGAUAUGACUACGUCAUCUUAAAUGCAGGCCACUGGUUUGCCCGGAUCAGUGUAUACUUUGAGAACAACCAACGAGUUGGCUGCCGGUACUGUGGUAUACCAGAUGUUUCUGAACUCCCUAUUACCUAUGCCUACCAAAAGGCAUUCAGAACUGCUCUUAAAGCGAUCAACAAUUUAGAAAAUUUUAAGGGGGUGGCAAUUCUUAGGACUUUUGCACCUUCUCAUUUUGAAGGUGGGGAAUGGAACAAGGGAGGUAAUUGUGCAAGGACAAGGCCAUAUAGAAGUAACGAGACUGCGUUGGAGGGUCAAAGCUUGGAACAAUACAGGAUCCAAGUUGAAGAGUUUAAGGCUGCAGAGGAAGAAGGGAAGGUGAAGGGGAAGAAAUUCAGAUUGAUGGACACAACACAAGCCA
Molecule: unclassified non-coding RNA, 1247 nt
Filed under: Hevea brasiliensis (rubber tree)
Lineage: Eukaryota; Viridiplantae; Streptophyta; Magnoliopsida; Malpighiales; Euphorbiaceae
Source: RNAcentral